UGGGUAGGGGAGCGUUCUGUAAGCCUGUGAAGGUGGCCUGUGAGGGUUGCUGGAGGUAUCAGAAGUGCGAAUGCUGACAUAAGUAACGAUAAAGCGGGUGAAAAGCCCGCUCGCCGGAAGACCAAGGGUUCCUGUCCAACGUUAAUCGGGGCAGGGUGAGUCGACCCCUAAGGCGAGGCCGAAAGGCGUAGUCGAUGGGAAACGGGUUAAUAUUCCCGUACUUGGUGUUACUGCGAAGGGGGGACGGAGAAGGCUAUGUUGGCCGGGCGACGGUUGUCCCGGUUUAAGCGUGUAGGUGUGUGUUCCAGGUAAAUCCGGUUCACUUUAACACUGAGGCGUGACGACGAGGCACUACGGUGCUGAAGCAACAAAUGCCCUGCUUCCAGGAAAAGCCUCUAAGCAUCAGGUAACAUCAAAUCGUACCCCAAACCGACACAGGUGGUCAGGUAGAGAAUACCAAGGCGCUUGAGAGAACUCGGGUGAAGGAACUAGGCAAAAUGGUGCCGUAACUUCGGGAGAAGGCACGCUGACACGUAGGUGAAGUGAUUUACUCACGGAGCUGAAGUCAGUCGAAGAUACCAGCUGGCUGCAACUGUUUAUUAAAAACACAGCACUGUGCAAACACGAAAGUGGACGUAUACGGUGUGACGCCUGCCCGGUGCCGGAAGGUUAAUUGAUGGGGUCAGCGCAAGCGAAGCUCCUGAUCGAAGCCCCGGUAAACGGCGGCCGUAACUAUAACGGUCCUAAGGUAGCGAAAUUCCUUGUCGGGUAAGUUCCGACCUGCACGAAUGGCGUAAUGAUGGCCAGGCUGUCUCCACCCGAGACUCAGUGAAAUUGAACUCGCUGUGAAGAUGCAGUGUACCCGCGGCAAGACGGAAAGACCCCGUGAACCUUUACUAUAGCUUGACACUGAACAUUGAGCCUUGAUGUGUAGGAUAGGUGGGAGGCUUUGAAGUGUGGACGCCAGUCUGCAUGGAGCCGACCUUGAAAUACCACCCUUUAAUGUUUGAUGUUCUAACGUGGACCCGUAAUCCGGGUUGCGGACAGUGUCUGGUGGGUAGUUUGACUGGGGCGGUCUCCUCCUAAAGAGUAACGGAGGAGCACGAAGGUUGGCUAAUCCUGGUCGGACAUCAGGAGGUUAGUGCAAUGGCAUAAGCCAGCUUGACUGCGAGCGUGACGGCGCGAGCAGGUGCGAAAGCAGGUCAUAGUGAUCCGGUGGUUCUGAAUGGAAGGGCCAUCGCUCAACGGAUAAAAGGUACUCCGGGGAUAACAGGCUGAUACCGCCCAAGAGUUCAUAUCGACGGCGGUGUUUGGCACCUCGAUGUCGGCUCAUCACAUCCUGGGGCUGAAGUAGGUCCCAAGGGUAUGGCUGUUCGCCAUUUAAAGUGGUACGCGAGCUGGGUUUAGAACGUCGUGAGACAGUUCGGUCCCUAUCUGCCGUGGGCGCUGGAGAACUGAGGGGGGCUGCUCCUAGUACGAGAGGACCGGAGUGGACGCAUCACUGGUGUUCGGGUUGUCAUGCCAAUGGCACUGCCCGGUAGCUAAAUGCGGAAGAGAUAAGUGCUGAAAGCAUCUAAGCACGAAACUUGCCCCGAGAUGAGUUCU
This 1605-nucleotide ribosomal RNA is filed under the name Salmonella enterica subsp. enterica serovar Derby. RNAcentral describes it as "bacterial LSU rRNA". It matches the Rfam family "Bacterial large subunit ribosomal RNA", at positions 1225 to 2812 of the family's 2925-position model. RNAcentral also lists the same sequence under 1 other name. Lineage: Bacteria; Pseudomonadati; Pseudomonadota; Gammaproteobacteria; Enterobacterales; Enterobacteriaceae. The record is from RNAcentral.